GGAGUCCAGCGUGCGCGCGAGUCAUUGGGCAUAAUACUAAACCUAAAGGCGAAAUGAAAGUGAAAACGUGCUUAGCGCGCGUCUAGGGAAGAUGGGCUAGUUAAUUCUCGCCUCGCAUUCCCGGGGCGUCUUUUUUUCGUUUAUCGAAAAUGGGCGCACCUAGAGCGUGCGCGCUGGGACCCGAAAGAUGGUGAACUAUGCCUGGUCAGGACGAAGUCAGGGGAAACCCUGAUGGAGGUCCGUAGCGAUUCUGACGUGCAAAUCGAUCGUCGGAACUGGGUAUAGGGGCGAAAGACUAAUCGAACCAUCUAGUAGCUGGUUCCCUCCGAAGUUUCCCUCAGGAUAGCUGGCGCACACAGAUGCGAGUUUCAUCCGGUAAAGCGAAUGAUUAGAGGCAUUGGGGACGAAACGUCCUCAACCUAUUCUCAAACUUUAAAUGGGUGAGAUCUUCGGCUUUCUUAAAUUGCGCUAAGAUUGUGGAGCCUCUCGGGGCUCGCGUCCGGCGCUUCGAUUUUGAAGCCGCAAGUAUCGAAUCCGUGUGCCAAGUGGGCCAUUUUUGGUAAGCAGAACUGGCGAUGUGGGAUGAACCAAACGUAAAGUUAAAGCGCCUAAGUGGACGCUUAUUAGAUACCAUGAAAGGCGUUGGUAACUUAAGACAGCAGGACGGUGGCCAUGGAA
Molecule: ribosomal RNA, 678 nt
Filed under: Laemoglyptus sp. UPOL 001287
Lineage: Eukaryota; Metazoa; Arthropoda; Insecta; Coleoptera; Cantharidae
Description: eukaryotic LSU rRNA
Rfam family: Eukaryotic large subunit ribosomal RNA
Source: RNAcentral